AUGUUGAUCUAUAUUGUUAUACUGCUGUCAUUAACCGAAGGUUACGGAGCCUCAGAAGUCAUCACUCCAAAAAGAAACAGAGAAUUUGCUCUUGAGGGUGACAUUAAUGUGACAGUCUCCUGUAACUACAGCGGUUCUGCUCGUGGUGUUCACUGGUAUCGUCAAUAUGCAGGUUCACCACCACAGUUCCUCAUACUGGAAUAUUCAGGGGUAACAACUCCAGCUAAACCACCCAUUCCAGGAAUAACCAUCAAUCACAGAAAAACUGAAAGCCAUGUGGAUCUGAAGAUCUCCUCUGCUGCUGUAUCAGACUCUGCUCUGUACUACUGUGCCCUGCAGCCCACACUGACAGGAAAACAGACUGCACUCUAA
Non-coding RNA from Carassius auratus (goldfish), 372 nucleotides. Lineage: Eukaryota; Metazoa; Chordata; Actinopteri; Cypriniformes; Cyprinidae. The record is from the annotation of a RefSeq genome assembly.